RNAcentral lists this transfer RNA (82 nucleotides) under Dichotomopilus funicola. RNAcentral's name for it is "tRNA-Pro". It matches the Rfam family "tRNA". From Rfam's summary of the family: Transfer RNA (tRNA) molecules are approximately 80 nucleotides in length. Their secondary structure includes four short double-helical elements and three loops (D, anti-codon, and T loops). Further hydrogen bonds mediate the characteristic L-shaped molecular structure. tRNAs have two regions of fundamental functional importance: the anti-codon, which is responsible for specific mRNA codon recognition, and the 3' end, to which the tRNAs corresponding amino acid is attached (by aminoacyl-tRNA synthetases). tRNAs cope with the degeneracy of the genetic code in two manners: having more than one tRNA (with a specific anti-codon) for a particular amino acid; and 'wobble' base-pairing, i.e. permitting non-standard base-pairing at the 3rd anti-codon position. RNAcentral also lists the same sequence under 1 other name. The record is from RNAcentral. Lineage: Eukaryota; Fungi; Ascomycota; Sordariomycetes; Sordariales; Chaetomiaceae.
GGCCGUGUGGUGUAGUGGUAGCAUACUUGCUUUGGGUUCCCAAACUUGCAAGUGGUCCCAGGUUCAAGCCCUGGCUCGGCCC